Molecule: ribosomal RNA, 570 nt
Filed under: Vibrio sp.
Lineage: Bacteria; Pseudomonadati; Pseudomonadota; Gammaproteobacteria; Vibrionales; Vibrionaceae
Description: bacterial SSU rRNA
Rfam family: Bacterial small subunit ribosomal RNA
Source: RNAcentral
CGCAAGAUUAAAACUCAAAUGAAUUGACGGGGGCCCGCACAAGCGGUGGAGCAUGUGGUUUAAUUCGAUGCAACGCGAAGAACCUUACCUACUCUUGACAUCCAGAGAACUUUUCAGAGAUGAAUUGGUGCCUUCGGGAACUCUGAGACAGGUGCUGCAUGGCUGUCGUCAGCUCGUGUUGUGAAAUGUUGGGUUAAGUCCCGCAACGAGCGCAACCCUUAUCCUUGUUUGCCAGCGAGUAAUGUCGGGAACUCCAGGGAGACUGCCGGUGAUAAACCGGAGGAAGGUGGGGACGACGUCAAGUCAUCAUGGCCCUUACGAGUAGGGCUACACACGUGCUACAAUGGCGCAUACAGAGGGCAGCCAACUCGCGAGAGUGAGCGAAUCCCAAAAAGUGCGUCGUAGUCCGGAUUGGAGUCUGCAACUCGACUCCAUGAAGUCGGAAUCGCUAGUAAUCGUAGAUCAGAAUGCUACGGUGAAUACGUUCCCGGGCCUUGUACACACCGCCCGUCACACCAUGGGAGUGGGCUGCAAAAGAAGUGGGUAGUUUAACCUUCGGGAGGACGCUCA